Molecule: unclassified non-coding RNA, 329 nt
Filed under: soil metagenome
Description: partial contains 5.8S ribosomal RNA, internal transcribed spacer 2, and large subunit ribosomal RNA
Rfam family: 5.8S ribosomal RNA (bases 1-120)
Source: RNAcentral
GAUGAAGAACGCAGCGAAAUGCGAUAAGUAAUGUGAAUUGCAGAACUCAGUGAAUCAUCGAAUCUUUGAACGCACAUUGCGCCCCCUGGUAUUCCGGGGGGCAUGCCUGUCCGAGCGUCAUUACAACCCUCAAGCUCAGCUUGGUGUUGGGCCCCGCCGCCCCGGCGGGCCCUAAAGUCAGUGGCGGUGCCGUCCGGCUCCGAGCGUAGUAAUUCUUCUCGCUCUGGAGGUCCGGUCGUGUGCUUGCCAGCAACCCCCAAUUUUUUUCAGGUUGACCUCGGAUCAGGUAGGGAUACCCGCUGAACUUAAGCAUAUCAAUAAGCGGAGGA